AGCAGCCGCGGUAAUUCCAGCUCCAAUAGCGUAUAUUAAAGUUGUUGCAGUUAAAAAGCUCGUAGUUGAAUUUCGGGAUUGACACAUCGGUCGUGCCUUAAGGGGUAUGAACUGGUGUAGUCAAUUUCUCACCUUCUGGAGAACCACGAUGCCCUUAAUUGGGUGUCGCGGGGAACCAGGACCUUUACUUUGAAAAAUUAGAGUGUUUAAAGCAGGCAUUUUGCUUGAAUACAUUAGCAUGGAAUAAUAAAAUAGGACGGCAUGAUUCUAUUUUGUUGGUUUCUAGGAUCACCGUAAUGAUUAAUAGGGAUAGUUGGGGGCAUUAGUAUUCAAUUGUCAGAGGUGAAAUUCUUGGAUUUAUUGAAGACUAACUACUGCGAAAGCAUUUGCCAAGGAUGUUUUCAUUAAUCAAGGACGAAAGUUAGGGGAUCGAAGACGAUCAGAUACCGUCGUAGUCUUAACCAUAAACUAUGCCGACUAGGAAUCAGACGAUGUUAAUUUUUAAUGACUCG
This 512-nucleotide ribosomal RNA is filed under the name uncultured Entrophosporaceae. Its description in RNAcentral is "SSU rRNA". It matches the Rfam family "Eukaryotic small subunit ribosomal RNA", at positions 569 to 1078 of the family's 1831-position model. Lineage: Eukaryota; Fungi; Glomeromycota; Glomeromycetes; Entrophosporales; Entrophosporaceae. The record is from RNAcentral.